Molecule: long non-coding RNA, 1786 nt
Organism: Sander lucioperca (pikeperch)
Lineage: Eukaryota; Metazoa; Chordata; Actinopteri; Perciformes; Percidae
Exons: 5
Source: RefSeq, a predicted model, not a curated record
UUGAGUUGUGUUUCUUCUUCAGCUUCAUUGCGUUUUGACAUAACCUGCACCUUAUUUUCUUUUUCAAAAGCUUUUUGUUUUGUAGCCAUCUAAUCAGCUUGACUGUCUUCCUUUUAGUUGGCUUUCCUUCAGUCAAACACAAUAUUUUACUUUCCAGACUCAUGUCCCUACCAUGGAUUGUAAAAUUGGUCUUAACGUGAGGUUUGGUGGCCUAUUUUUUUUUUCAGCGAUGUUAAUUGCCCGCGUAAACCUAACCAAUCAGAGACAGAGUAGGGUGACCUUUCGCGAGCGGUCUUGUGUGCCCCUGUCGAAUAGUGUUUUGCCUCCUGUUAAAAUGCAUAGCGCCCCUAUCUGUAGAGAUGCUCCCUAACAAAAACAUCAUAAACGUUCUUAAUGAUAUCAAACUAUUUGGAGCGCCGUGUUCUCUGACAGUGGUACCAUCCUGGGACAUGAUGUUGGAAAUCCAGGUUCCUCCAGAGCUCCACUUGGGACUUUGCCUCGGAAUGAGAAAAAUUUACACCGUUCUGCAGUUAGCACCAGAUAACGUUACUGAGGACAAUGGAGUGGGAGGAGGAAGAGAAAGAGGUGCGUGCAAGAUCUGAAAACAACCUAAGCAUGGAAUCCUUAGCUCUGUGAAGAGGCAAGAGAAAGUGUCAGAAACCUCAGUAUGACACGGACAAAAUUAUUGUCCUGUCUGUGCAACAGCCUCCACAAGAUAAGGCACAAAAAAAACCUGCAAAUGCCAAGAUGCAUGAAAAAGUGCUUCCACCUCCACAUGACCAUCCAGGAACCUCUGCAAAAGAAAAGGCAAAAGAAAACGAAUACUCUACUCCACAGACACUUCUGCAGGAAGCUAGGCAAACCAUUGAAAGGCAAAAAGGUGAGAUUGCCACCUUAAAAGAAUGGAUCGAUAUGCUUACUGAGGAGAGAAAUUUCCUCCGGGAGAGACUUAAAGAAGGUAAAGAUGAUUUGAGGAGAUUACAAGUUCAUAAAUGUACAUGUACGUUGAUUGUGAUGAAACAUCUGUUGUUAAAUCACUUUAUUUGUUUUGCACAGCUCUUACACGCUCAAAAAUGACAGGAGAGCUGAGACAGCAGUUAAGAUCUCACCUGUAAAGAAACAAUCUGGACGGAUGAAAGAUGACUCAGAUGAAACUGACCUUUCCUCAUCUAAUGAGUCCUCUGAUUCUGAAGCUGACACAGCAUCAUCUGAGGACAAGAAGCCCAAAAAGUCCAAGUCCAAGCGCAAAACAAAAAAGCUGAAAAAAAUGCGAGUGAAAACCCCUGACCAAUCCAUCCAGCGUUACAACAUGGUGCUGGAGAUGGUGAGGAAUGAUGGCAUCAGCAAAGCGGAAGCCUAUGCAAGGAUUGUAGUAGAUCGGAAUACCAUUGUAUAUCAGGCACCAAUUGCUGAACUUGCAGCUACCAACCACGAGCUGUACAAGACAUUGAGGUCUACUGUUAAAAGAAAGGAAAGCCUCAAAAGGUUUGCUGAAACAUGUAAGGGCUUUUGUGAGCAGGAGCCUACAGCUUCAGCAAUUCUAAAAAAAAGAAAAAGAAGCUGGAUCCUUGCUGGACAUUUACAAGAAAUAAAAGGGUCAACUUGUUGUCAAGAAUCUGGCUUGGACCCAAGUGCAGAAAUGCGAGGAGGAAGCAGCAGUGGAAAUAAAAAUAAUUUAAUGAAAACACAAAGAGAGCUUACAAAAACACGCAAGCUGGUAAUGUCCAAAAACACAGGAAAAACCACCAAGAACACGGAAGAAACAGGGAAUCAAAGAACACGAGAA